GAUGAACGCUGGCGGCGUGCCUAAUACAUGCAAGUAGAACGCUGAAGGAGGAGCUUGCUCUUCUGGAUGAGUUGCGAACGGGUGAGUAACGCGUAGGUAACCUGCCUGGUAGCGGGGGAUAACUAUUGGAAACGAUAGCUAAUACCGCAUGACAACAGUUAUUGCAUGAUAACUGUUUAAAAGGGGCAACUGCUCCACUACCAGAUGGACCUGCGUUGUAUUAGCUAGUUGGUGAGGUAACAGCUCACCAAGGCGACGAUACAUAGCCGACCUGAGAGGGUGAUCGGCCACACUGGGACUGAGACACGGCCCAGACUCCUACGGGAGGCAGCAGUAGGGAAUCUUCGGCAAUGGACGGAAGUCUGACCGAGCAACGCCGCGUGAGUGAAGAAGGUUUUCGGAUCGUAAAGCUCUGUUGUAAGAGAAGAACGAGUGUGAGAGUGGAAAGUUCACACUGUGACGGUAUCUUACCAGAAAGGGACGGCUAACUACGUG
Molecule: ribosomal RNA, 495 nt
Filed under: uncultured bacterium
Lineage: Bacteria
Description: partial 16S ribosomal RNA
Rfam family: Bacterial small subunit ribosomal RNA
Source: RNAcentral